CAAGCUGGCGGCAUGCCUAUACAUGCAGUCGAGCGGAGUGACGAGAGCUUGCUCUCUGAUUUUAGCGGCGGACGGGUGAGUAACACGUGGGCAACCUGCCCUACAGAUGGGGAUAACUCCGGGAAACCGGGGCUAAUACCGAAUAAUCAGUUUGUCCGCAUGGACAAACUCUGGAAGACGGUUUCGGCUGUCACUGUAGGAUGGGCCCGCGGCGCAUUAGCUAGUUGGUGGGGUAAUGGCCUACCAAGGCAACGAUGCGUAGCCGACCUGAGAGGGUGAUCGGCCACACUGGGACUGAGACACGGCCCAGACUCCUACGGGAGGCAGCAGUAGGGAAUCUUCCACAAUGGACGAAAGUCUGAUGGAGCAAUGCCGCGUGAGCGAAGAAGGUUUUCGGAUCGUAAAGCUCUGUUGUAAGGGAAGAACACGUACGGGAGUAACCGCCCGUGCCAUGACGGUACCUUAUUAGAAAGCCACGGCUAACUACGUGCCAGCAGCCGCGGUAAU
Molecule: ribosomal RNA, 507 nt
Filed under: uncultured bacterium
Lineage: Bacteria
Description: bacterial SSU rRNA
Rfam family: Bacterial small subunit ribosomal RNA
Source: RNAcentral